Molecule: ribosomal RNA, 500 nt
Filed under: uncultured bacterium
Lineage: Bacteria
Description: partial 16S ribosomal RNA
Rfam family: Bacterial small subunit ribosomal RNA
Source: RNAcentral
AUUGAACGCUGGCGGCAUGCCUUACACAUGCAAGUCGAACGGCAGCACGGGAGCAAUCCUGGUGGCGAGUGGCGAACGGGUGAGUAAUAUAUCGGAACGUGCCCAGUCGUGGGGGAUAACGCAGCGAAAGCUGUGCUAAUACCGCAUACGAUCUACGGAUGAAAGCGGGGGAUCGCAAGACCUCGCGCGAUUGGAGCGGCCGAUAUCAGAUUAGCUAGUUGGUGGGGUAAAGGCCCACCAAGGCGACGAUCUGUAGCUGGUCUGAGAGGACGACCAGCCACACUGGAACGGAGACACGGUCCAGACUCCUACGGGAGUCAGCAGUGGGGAAUUUUGGAAAAUGGGCGCAAGCCUGAUCCAGCAAUGCCGCGUGCAGGAUGAAGGCCUUCGGGUUGUAAACUGCUUUUGUACGGAACGAAACGGCUCUUUCUAAUAAAGAGGGCUAAUGACGGUACCGUAAGAAUAAGCACCGGCUAACUACGUGCCAGCCGCCGCCGUAA